This 505-nucleotide ribosomal RNA is filed under the name uncultured bacterium. RNAcentral's name for it is "partial 16S ribosomal RNA". It matches the Rfam family "Bacterial small subunit ribosomal RNA", at positions 28 to 507 of the family's 1533-position model. The record is from RNAcentral.
GACGAACGCUGGCGGCGUGCCUAAUACAUGCAAGUAGAACGCACAGUUUAUACCGUAGCUUGCUACACCAUAGACUGUGAGUUGCGAACGGGUGAGUAACGCGUAGGUAACCUGCCUGGUAGCGGGGGAUAACUAUUGGAAACGAUAGCUAAUACCGCAUAAUAUUGAUUAUUGCGUGAUAAUUAAUUGAAAGGUGCAAUUGCACCACUACCAGAUGGACCUGCGUUGUAUUAGCUAGUAGGUGAGGUAACGGCUCACCUAGGCGACGAUACAUAGCCGACCUGAGAGGGUGAUCGGCCACACUGGGACUGAGACACGGCCCAGACUCCUACGGGAGGCAGCAGUAGGGAAUCUUCGGCAAUGGACGAAAGUCUGACCGAGCAACGCCGCGUGAGUGAAGAAGGGUUUCGGAUCGUAAAGCUCUGUUGUAAGAGAAGAACGGGUGUGAGAGUGGAAAGUUCACACUGUGACGGUAUCUUACCAGAAAGGGACGGCUAACUACGUG